GCUCUGGUAGCACAGUGGCUAAGUGCUUGGCUGCUAACUGUAAGGUUGGUGGUUCGAACCCACCCAGAGGCU
RNAcentral lists this transfer RNA (72 nucleotides) under Loxodonta africana (African savanna elephant). It matches the Rfam family "tRNA". From Rfam's summary of the family: Transfer RNA (tRNA) molecules are approximately 80 nucleotides in length. Their secondary structure includes four short double-helical elements and three loops (D, anti-codon, and T loops). Lineage: Eukaryota; Metazoa; Chordata; Mammalia; Proboscidea; Elephantidae. The record is from Rfam by way of RNAcentral.